This 254-nucleotide ribosomal RNA is filed under the name uncultured bacterium. RNAcentral's name for it is "partial 16S ribosomal RNA". It matches the Rfam family "Bacterial small subunit ribosomal RNA", at positions 524 to 776 of the family's 1533-position model. The record is from RNAcentral.
UACGUAGGGUGCGAGCGUUGUCCGGAAUUACUGGGCGUAAAGAGCUCGUAGGUGGUUUGUCGCGUUGUCCGUGAAAACUCACAGCUUAACUGUGGGCGUGCGGGCGAUACGGGCAGACUGGAGUACUGCAGGGGAGACUGGAAUUCCUGGUGUAGCGGUGGAAUGCGCAGAUAUCAGGAGGAACACCGGUGGCGAAGGCGGGGUCUCUGGGCAGUAACUGACGCUGAGGAGCGAAAGCGUGGGGAGCGAACAGG